AAAAACGGAAAAAGAAAAUAAAUAAAUAAAUAACUAAAUAAAAUAAAAAAUAUUGGACUUGGACCUCUCUCAUUUGAGCCCACAGGUCCACAAAAAUCAGGUUAUAAAUUCAUAGUUUCAGUGAAACAAAUUUAAUUCUAUUCCUAUUACCCUGGCUGGAAAAAGAUAGUGAGAGAAGAGCUAACAGAGUUCAGAGCAGCCUCCAAACCCUGAAGGAAAGUCAAAUGCACAGAAUCAC
Molecule: long non-coding RNA, 238 nt
Filed under: Lathyrus oleraceus (garden pea)
Lineage: Eukaryota; Viridiplantae; Streptophyta; Magnoliopsida; Fabales; Fabaceae
Description: Pisum sativum (pea) long non-coding RNA (PSAT_LNC024464)
Source: RNAcentral